Molecule: ribosomal RNA, 114 nt
Filed under: Fasciola gigantica
Lineage: Eukaryota; Metazoa; Platyhelminthes; Trematoda; Plagiorchiida; Fasciolidae
Source: RNAcentral
AAGGCAAGUUUGACAAGAAACUCCAGUUCUCUUCCGAUCACUGAAGUCAAGCAACGUCAGUCCCGCUUAGUAUGAACAUCGACGAGCACCUGGGAAUACCCUGUUAUCAUUGCU